RNAcentral lists this long non-coding RNA (376 nucleotides) under Lynx canadensis (Canada lynx). RNAcentral describes it as "lncRNA (ENSLCNG00005016483.1)". The record is from RNAcentral. Lineage: Eukaryota; Metazoa; Chordata; Mammalia; Carnivora; Felidae.
GGGAGGGGGAACUGGGAGGCGGAGGCGGAGGCCGCGUCACGUGGAGGAGAGGCACAGGCCUUCUCCCGAAGGCCGGCGGAAAGAGCCGAAGGGAGGGAGUGAGGUCGAGGCAAGGCGGAAAAAGCCGAAGGCAGAGGAGCGAGAGACGGGUAGAGACGGAAAAAGCCGAGGACUUCCGGCCACGGGAGCGGGUCAUCUCCUCCUCCCAUCAUGGACGGAAGAGGAACUCCCAUCAAAAGCCGUCAGAUGACUGUAGCGUCAGCUGACCUCUGACUGCGUUCUCACAAAAGACCUUGUGCCACAACAGCCCGGUCCAGCUGCUCCUGAAGUCCAGCUUCACAAAAACUACAAGAGAUAAUAAAUAUGCAUCAUUAAG